GUCGGCUUUUGGGGGGGAAGGGAUAGCAGAGAGAGGCGGUGAAGAGCUGCUGAUUGUGGAUCUCGGGGCCCGAAUAAGAUUUGCUCGCUGGCCACUUGGCAUCUGUGAUUCAAAGGGAGCGAGGUUACCGUUCUCUUGGCACUAUCGCGCUUCCACCAUUCGCCGCCAGUCCCCGAUCCCUUCUCUCCUGUCCACCGCAUCUGGUUCGGGACAAAGGAGCAUCCGGAAUGUCCCGCUGCCCGUCCUGCCCUAUACAGGUAUAUAAAGUGUGUCGGAAAAAGAAUGAGAUUCUGCUGAAGGACGAUGACAAUCUAAGGAUAAUGUGAAGAAAUAGAAACUGAAAGACCUUGCAAACACAACUCAGUCAAAAGUUGCAAGACGUCCAAACAAGAAUCCGUUUCUGGCAGUGUGGAUGAUGAUUUGAAGAUGAGGUUCCUUCGAAGGAGAAAGUGAGGACUGCAGAUGCUGGAGAUCAGAGCUGAAAAUGUGUAGCUGGAAAAGCGCAGCAGGUCAGACAGCAUCCAAGGAACAGGAGAGUUGACGUUUCGGGCAUGAGCCCUUCUUCAGGACAUUCCUGAUAGUGGCUAUGGACCAUGUGCAAGCAGUUUGGAAUGGCACCAUGGCCAGCACAUCUAUGGCAGGCUGGAGUCUGUUCCUGCACUGUGCAGUUCUAUCUUCGAUGUUGAUUCCUCGAUCAAUGAAACAUCAUAAUUUUUUGAUGGUUUUUCCAAGUUGUACAAACACCUUCAAGGAUUUACCAUCCAUGUAAACAACAGAGAUGCCAGCAUUGAUCCAUGUGGAACCCCAGUGAUCACAGACUGCCAGUCAGAAAUUUGAGUACAACAUUUGUGAAUUUAUUGUAAACCCUCUGAAAGCUCUAGUUAUGCCAGAUCAAGGGCAGUGUUUUCAAUUUUGUCAGCACAGCGUAAGAGUUUAAAUUAGGUUUAUAGGUGAUUUUAUUAGAAUGGUUCGAGAUAUAGGAAAUUGGAAGGUUAGAUUGAAGAAGUUGACAUUGGAACAAAGGAGAUUGGGUGUUGAGAUAUUGUGCAAGGUUAUGAGAGUUUUAGAUUAGAUAAAUAUUAAAAAGCUGUUCCUAUUACUUAAUUGUGCCAGGAUUAGAGGAGAGAACUGCAGGAUAUUAGGUAAGGAAUAAGGAGGAAAAUCUGAAGAAGAAAAUACUGAAAAAAACUGGAGUUGCAUGAAGGAAGCCCGAAACCAACAUUUGCCCAUUGAGACAGGUUUGAGUCAGCAGGGUCUCUUGUUACCAGGCCAGGGUCAUAAAAAUGGCAGCCCCCUCAUAUGAUGGGAGAAGGAGCAGUCUGGGUUUCAAUGCACGAGUGACCACUGACUCGUUGACUUUAUUGUCACUUUGCAACUGGGGUUGGACAGUUGAACUCAGCAAGAAGAGGGCGAAGACAGGGAGGAGAUAAAUUUUGGGGAAGUGUAACAGAUUGAAAUCUCUCCAAAAGGACAAAAGAAAAUGUUUGGGAUGAGUACUUACAGUUUUGAGGAAACAAUAGGGGAAAGAAUGUUCCAUAGAAACUAUACAUGCCUGUUCUGAAACUCUGUUUUGUACCUUGAGCCGUGAUUAUUUUUAACCUCUUUUCACAGGGACAUUAGAAGAAAGGUUGAGAUCAGAAAACUCAAAACACAAUGUCAUAUCCAGAUUUGACAGUAUUGCCUUACGACAAACAGAUCCUGGUUAUUCUCGGCAUUUGAAUGUGAAAGAAGAUACGUUUGCUCCAUUUGCCUGUUAAAACAUUUCAAGCAUCAAUGUGACUGCGAGAACACCAAGACCCAGACACCUGACUGAAAAUGUUCCAAUGCAUUGACUGUGAAAAGAACUUCAACUAGUUAUCAUUCCUGAAUAAAAAUUUGAACCUUUUCAGCAGGAGCAAAUGUACAUUUGCACUUUGUGUGGACAAAACUUCAACUUAUCAUCCAACCUAGAGAGUCACAGAGCUACCCAGAUCAUGGAAAGACCAUGGAAAUGUGGGGAGUGUGGGAGGGGAUUCAACUACCCAUCUCAGUUAGAGAUACAUCUACGUAGUCACACUGGGGAGAGACUGUUCAUCUGCUCGCAAUGUGGGAUGUGUUUUAGAGAAUCAUCUAACCUGCUGAAACACCAGCAGCUUCACAUGGGCAAGAGGCCAUUCACCUGCUCCAUGUGUGAGAAAGGACUCGCUCAAUCCUCUCACCUGUUGACACACCAACAAGUUCACACUGGGAGAAGCCAUACAGUUGCUCUUAUUGUCUGAAGACAUUUAACCGUUCAUCCAAACUUCUGAAGCUUCAGCGAGUCCAUACCAGAGAGAGGCCGUCCACCUGCUUUAUUUGUAGGAAGGAUUCACUCAGUCUUCUAACCUCCUGACUCACCAGCAGGUUCACACUGGUGAGAAGCCAUUCACUUGUUCAAUUGUGGGAAGGGAUUCUCUCAAUACUUCCACCUGCUGACCCACCAGCAAGUUCACACCAAUAAGAGACCUUUCAAAUGCUCUGGCUAUGUGAAGAUCUUUGCACAGUUAUCGAACUUGUACCAGCAAGUACACACUGGGGAGAGACCAUUCACUUGCUCUGUAUGUGGGAAAGGAUUCACUCAGUCAUCCAAACUGCUAAAACACCAGCAAAUUCACAAGUGAUUGCAGGGAUGGACCUUGCUUUUGUCACUGCUGGUAUUCACAUCCACAACUGAACCACAUUCUGACAGUUGGAUUUUGUUUCUGCUGAAGGAACUAAACUCCAGCCUGGUCACAUUGCUGAAUUAAUAAAUAAAUCUGCUUAAUCAAAUAUAUUUGACUGUAUAUAGCUCAAUGGCUCACAGUUGGAUAUUCAAAGGAGACUGUCAGCAAUGUAAAUGUCUUCCAGCAUACAAAAUAAAGAC
Molecule: long non-coding RNA, 2881 nt
Organism: Hemiscyllium ocellatum (epaulette shark)
Lineage: Eukaryota; Metazoa; Chordata; Chondrichthyes; Orectolobiformes; Hemiscylliidae
Exons: 5
Source: RefSeq, a predicted model, not a curated record